CACGUAGUUAGCCGGUGCUUAUUCUUUAGGUACCGUCAGUAUCAGCCAUUAUUCACAGCUGACUUUUCUUCCCUAACAAAAGUACUUUACAACCCUAAGGCCUUCUUCAUACACGCGGCAUGGCUGGAUCAGGGUUGCCCCCAUUGUCCAAAAUUCCCCACUGCUGCCUCCCGUAGAGUCUGGCCGUGUCUCAGUCCCAGUGUGGCGGAUCAUCCUCUCAGACCCGCUACAGAUCUUCGCCUUGGUGAGCCUUUACCUCACCAACUAGCUAAUCCGACAUCGGCCGCUCAAAAGCGCUAGGCCUAUUCCCAGGUCCCAGCUUUCUUCCUCAGAAUUUAUGCGGUAUUAGCCACCCUUUCGGGUGGUUAUCCCCCUCUUCUCGACACGUUCCGAUGUAUUACUCACCCGUUCGCCACUCGCCGCAGAGAAGCAAGCUCCUCCCCGCUGCCGUUCGACUUGCAUGUGUAAAGCAUCGCCGCAGUCGUUCAAAUCCGUGAGCCAGGACUAA
This 508-nucleotide ribosomal RNA is filed under the name uncultured Neisseriaceae bacterium. RNAcentral describes it as "partial 16S ribosomal RNA". Lineage: Bacteria; Pseudomonadati; Pseudomonadota; Betaproteobacteria; Neisseriales; Neisseriaceae. The record is from RNAcentral.